GCCAGCUUGCUAACGGUCUUGCCCCAUUCAGAUGCAUCGAACUCACAGAACAUCGCUCCCCAGAUGCUGGCUUGCGGUUCUGAGAGUGCCUGAAUAGAAAACCACUCAUUUCCCUUCGCAAAAGAGGCGCCCAAAGCAGAUAUUUCAAUAUAUUCCGAUUUAGCCGAGGGAAGCCAGAACAUGGAUGUUGUUGCCAAGGAAACCACCUCCUUCCUCCUGUGUGCUGUGCAUACGUGUAUCACUUCAUCUCUCUGCUCUCCAAGCUUGAAUAUAGAUCUGACGUGGAUUUCCUGCCCCAGUUCCGAAGUCUACCUGGUGCCCCAGCCGAACCUGCCCUGGCUCCUAGGUGGGGUAUGGACAUCUGUGGCAUCCCUCCCCAACACCCCACCAAGCUGGGCUGCAAGACGGGUUAUGGUGGCCCCAUGACUUUCUUCCUUG
This 438-nucleotide long non-coding RNA is filed under the name Pongo abelii (Sumatran orangutan). Its description in RNAcentral is "lincRNA". The record is from RNAcentral. Lineage: Eukaryota; Metazoa; Chordata; Mammalia; Primates; Hominidae.